Molecule: long non-coding RNA, 420 nt
Organism: Pistacia vera
Lineage: Eukaryota; Viridiplantae; Streptophyta; Magnoliopsida; Sapindales; Anacardiaceae
Exons: 3
Source: RefSeq, a predicted model, not a curated record
CUUUAAAUUCUCUUACCUAGAAGGUAUCAGUCACAAACUGUAUACUGACUUUAAAUAUAUAUCCUAGUUCAUAAGGCUAAACUUUGUGAAUUGUGACUGCAGAUUCUCAAGCUCAAAUAGCAUCAUCACAGUUGGGUCAAGUUAUUGGAGACAUUGUGGGUCAUCUAUUGAUAAAAGCAGAGAGGUGAUUGUGCAAAGAUUUAAAGAUAUCAGAGAAGUUUCAUUUCAAGGAGAACACCAAUCGUUUACAAGGAUCUGAUCGAAGAUCUCAAAUACACUUCAUUGUGAGUGUGGAAUUUUACUGCUGAUUCUCUUACUUAGAAGGUAUCAGUCACAAACUUUAUACUGACUUUAGAUAUGUAUCCUAGUUCAUAAAGCUAAACUUUGUGAAUUGUGACCACAGAUUCUUAAGCUCAAAUA